RNAcentral lists this ribosomal RNA (1361 nucleotides) under metagenome. RNAcentral's name for it is "SSU rRNA". It matches the Rfam family "Eukaryotic small subunit ribosomal RNA", at positions 316 to 1718 of the family's 1831-position model. The record is from RNAcentral.
CAGCUUUCGAUGGUAGUGUAUUGGACUACCAUGGCAGUAACGGGUAACGAAGAAUUAGGGUUCGAUUUCGGAGAGGGAGCAUGAGAAACGGCUACCACAUCUAAGGAAGGCAGCAGGCGCGUAAAUUACCCAAUCCUGACUCAGGGAGGUAGUGACAAGAAAUAGCAAACCGGGAACCUCAUGGUUUCACGGUAUUGCGAUGAGAACAAUUUAAAACCCUUAGCGAGAAUCAAGUGGAGGACAAGUCUGGUGCCAGCACCCGCGGUAAUUCCAGCUCCACUAGCGUAUAUUAAAGUUGUUGCAGUUAAAAAGCUCGUAGUUGAACCUCUGUCUGGGGCUAGUUUUGGCUUUGGUCAGGCUAGUUCUAGGCAUCCGCCUACAAGACUUAGAGGGCAUUCAGUUGUUCACUAGGAGGAGUAGGCAUUUUACUUUGAAAAAAUUAGAGUGUUUAAGGCAGGCAAUCGCCCGCAUAUAUUAGCAUGGAAUAAUAGAAUAGGACACUUUUCCAUUUCGUUGGUUAUUGGAAUCGUGUAAUGAUUAAUAGGGACAGUUGUGGGCAUUUGUAUUUAAUUGUCAGAGGUGAAAUUCUCGGAUUUAUUAAAGACAAACUAACGCGAAAGCAUUUGCCAAGGAUGUUUUCAUUAAUCAAGAACGAAAGUUAGGGGAUCAAAGACGAUCAGAUACCGUCCUAGUCUUAACUAUAAACUAUUCCGGCUCAAUGUUUGACUGGCUUAUAUAACCAGUUGAGCGUUGUAUGAGAAAUCAAAGUCUUUAGGUUCUGGGGGGAGUAUGGUUGCAAAGCUGAAACUUAAAGGAAUUGACGGAAGAGCACAACCAGGAGUGGAUUCUGCGGCUUAAUUUGACUCAACACGGGGAAACUUACCAGGUUAAAACAAUAGUGUGAUUGACAGUUUGAGAGCGCUUUCUUGAUUGGUUGGGUGGUGGUGCAUGGCAGUUCUUAGUUGGUGGAGUGAUUUGUCUGCUUAAUUGCGUUAACGAACGAGACCUUAACCUGCUUACUAGACUGGCGAUCAUCAAUCGUUAGCUCUUCUUAGAGGGACUUUGGUUGUUUUAACUCCAAGGAAGUUUGAGGCAAUAACAGGUCUGUGAUGCCCUUAGAUAUCCUGGGCCGCACGCGUCAUACAAUGACUAGUUCAGAAAGUUUUCUCCUGACCCGAAAGGGGAUGGGUAAUCUUGAUAAUACUGGUCGUGUUAGGGAUCGAUCUUUGCAAUUAUAGAUCUUGAACGAGGAAUUCCUAGUAAGUGCGGUUCAUCAGACCGUACUGAUUACGUCCCUGCUCUUUGUACACACCGCCCGUCGCUUCUACCGAGUGGGUGGUCCGGUGAGAUAAUUGAACUUC